RNAcentral lists this ribosomal RNA (398 nucleotides) under uncultured bacterium. Its description in RNAcentral is "bacterial SSU rRNA". It matches the Rfam family "Bacterial small subunit ribosomal RNA", at positions 358 to 773 of the family's 1533-position model. The record is from RNAcentral.
GGAAUAUUGGACAAUGGGCGAAAGCCUGAUCCAGCCAUGCCGCGUGAGUGAAGAAGGCCUUAGGGUUGUAAAGCUCUUUCACCUGCGAAGAUGAUGACGGUAACGGGAGAAGAAGCCCCGGCUAACUCCGUGCCAGCAGCCGCGGUAAGACGGAGGGGGCUAGCGUGGUUCGGAAUUACUGGGCGUAAAGCGCGCGUAGGCGGCCGGUCAAGUUAGGCGUGAAAGGCCCGGGCUCAACCUGGGAACUGCGCUUAAGACUGAUCGGCUCGAGUCCGGGAGAGGGUGGUGGAAUUCCCAGUGUAGAGGUGAAAUUCGUAGAUAUUGGGAGGAACACCAGUGGCGAAGGCGGCCACCUGGCCCGGCACUGACGCUGAGGCGCGAAAGCGUGGGGAGCAAAC